Molecule: ribosomal RNA, 253 nt
Filed under: uncultured bacterium
Lineage: Bacteria
Description: partial 16S ribosomal RNA
Rfam family: Bacterial small subunit ribosomal RNA
Source: RNAcentral
UACGUAGGGGGCAAGCGUUGUCCGGAAUCAUUGGGCGUAAAGAGUGUGUAGGCGGCUCGGUAAGUCCGCUGUAAAAGUCCAGGGCUCAACCCUGGAAAGCCGGUGGAAACUGUCGAGCUAGAGUCCGGAAGAGGCGAGUGGAAUUCCUGGUGUAGCGGUGAAAUGCGCAGAUAUCAGGAGGAACACCAAUGGCGAAGGCAGCUCGCUGGGACGGUACUGACGCUGAGACGCGAAAGCGUGGGGAGCAAACAGG